This is a long non-coding RNA of Herpailurus yagouaroundi (jaguarundi), 4065 nucleotides long. RefSeq lists it as uncharacterized. The record is from RefSeq and is a predicted model, not a curated record. The transcript is spliced from 3 exons. NCBI's taxonomy places the organism in Eukaryota, Metazoa, Chordata, Mammalia, Carnivora, Felidae.
GCUGGGCUUUAUUUUCUAGAACUUUAGUUAAAUUCUUGUUUUCAUGUGUGCAGUUGACAUACUCAAGGUACAUUUCUCAAGGUAGCUUUGAGUCUAAGGGGACCCUGGUUGUAGGCGGAGCCGGGUUCAGAUGCCUAAUCCAGGGGGUCAUGGAGGAACCAGGGCUCUAAACAAGAGUAAAGAUGAUUUUGGACAAAUAACCCAUCUCACCCAAUAGGCAAGGGCUCUUCUGACAUUCCCUGAGGGGGCUCAGAGACUUAUGGGAAACGGCGUCGUCCCAAAUUUGAUGGAUGACCGGAGCAGAGCCCAGGGAACGGGAUCCCUCGCAGCUCCUUCUGCGCAUGUGCAGCUCUUCCUCCUUGUUCGCCCGCUCCCUCGUCUCCAGCUUCGCAGCGCUGGUAAUCGACAAGCCUCCCGGUCGACGCGCUGCUCCGUGACCGAGUCCUGCCGGAAGAAUGCGCACCCCAGGUGAGAACCUAGUUUGGAGGGUUGCUUUGCCGGGUGUGGGAUAGGUCUGUGCCCACUCGUGGUGGAAGCGAAAACUUGGGCGAAUCCCACGCGGCCCGAGACCCUAACGAAAACCAGAGACAAAGUAGUUUGGCUGCAGACCCGCAGGUUCCACGACAAGGAUAAGGGCGCGGGUUUCUUGGUCAGAAUACAGUGCUCCGAGAAAAGGCAUCUGACUGUUAAAGAGCUGUUUCCAGAAGCUCUUUGAAUUUGCCCGUGCCCUGGUCACGUAUUCAUUAGCGAGUCAAAUCCAGGACAGCAGCGGGGAUGAAAGUGAAUUCUUGUAUUUAUUAUAUGCCUGCAAGCUAAGGGCAGGUGGCGGGUCUGCAUUAUAGCAGACUGAUACAGGAGCCUCAGUUUGAACUCAGACGAGUUUAAAUUCUAGCUCGGCCACUGAGUCUCCAUGGGCAACAUGAUGAGCCUCUAAGACUCAGUUUCCCCAUCCUAAAAUGAACUCAUUCCUAAAACCUGCCUCAAGGUUGCUCUGCGGAUUGAAUAAGACAGCACCUAUGAAGCACUCAUCAUGGGUCCUCACUGAGUAACUGGGAAAUGUUAAUUACCUUUAUCACCGUUCUUUUCAUUAAGAAUAUUAUUUAUUUCCAAAGACCCCCUGUAAAUUUGGUAUUAAUCCCCUUUUAACCGAGAAGAAAACCAAGGCUCUGGAGGUGAAGCCUCAUGGACAGUAACUGAGGGAGCUGGGAUGCAUGUCUCAGUUUUAUUUCUAAAUCCCAUGCCGGGGUUCGUCCAGCAGCACAUCCUUUACAGCACUUAGCAGAGUGGCAAGCCCCCAAGCGCCACGAGGAACAACCUGGAGUGGACCAGGCUGACGUCUCUAGAGUUCUUGGAGAUUUCUUGGCAUCUGUUCAGAACCCUCGGGUUACCGCGUAAUGGAGGCUUCUAGACGUCAAGGGGCUUCAAGCCCCUUGAGGGCUUGUUAAAACCCAAGAGCUGUCUGGGCCCCACCUCCAGCAUCUCUGGUUCAGAAGGGCCCCCAAAUCGGCAUUUCUAUCAAGUUCCCCAGUGAUGCUAAUACUGCUGGUCUGGGAGCCACAAAAGUUGUACAGGGGUGGUGAAGGCCAAGAGAGAGUUGGGACCUGGGCUGGAGAUUAUUUGAAUUUACCCCCUCCAGCCAGGUUCCUAUUUCCUUGGAUCACACAGCUCUUGUGAGGAAAGAAGGUGGGGCCACCAGAAGCAGGACUCCCACCUGGGAGGGGAGAUCCCCAUCCUACCUGGAUACAGCUCACCUCCGAUGCGGGGGCACAGAUCCCAGGAACAAGCACGUUCUAUCUUGACUUCCUCUGGGGCAAUUCCUGAUCCUUUCGCCCUGAAGAGCAUCACCACACCAGAGGUUGUCGAGAGCCGUCAAUCGGUGAAGAUGUGAGCCAACUUUCAAAAGAGAGAGGUCAGCUGAGCUGAGGGUGCUGGGCAAGAGGCAGGCUCCCUGGGAUGAGGAAAUCCUGUGGAUGGUUGGUGAGGCUGUGGUCUGGGAAGAAGGUGGGGGAGACACUCUCUCCACUCCUCCCAGAGACUCCUCCCCGCAAUUUUAUUCUCCAGUCCCUCUUCUGGGAUCUACACAGCCCACAGACCCUGGCCAUCACCUCAUCUGGAAUUUAGAGAUAUGCUACCCCCCCCAUUCCUGCCUUUGUAGGAGUACAGAAAGGGGGUCUUCAGGAGUUCUAUAAUCCUGCCUCAUUUUAGAAGUGAACAGUAUGAACUCUGAGCGAGUCAUUAGCAUAGGGUUAAGUUCAAGGUUUCUGGAGACUACCAGGGUUCAAAGCGUGGCUCUACCCUGUUACUUUCACUUCUUUCCCUCAAUUUCCUCAUCUGUAAACUGGGAGUAAUAACACUACCUACAUUCUGCUUUAUUUUAAGGAAUAAAUGAGGUAAUAUAUGUGAAGGACUUAGAAUAGUGCCUGUUACACAGGAAGCAUGACCCAAGUAUUUUCAGUAUCAUCAAUAUUAUUAUAAUCUCAGUUUACAUUAUUUGUUAGUCCCAGCACCUAAAGGGGCAUUGGGGCCCCCUGACUCCCAAGUCCCGUCCUGUCUACUAUGUCUCAGUUAAAGCAAAAUUAGUUUCUUAAUAAAAAAUCCUUUGGAGGGGCACCUGGGUGGCUCAGUCAGUUGAGCGUCCAACUCUUGAUUUAGGCUCAAGUCGUGAACUCACAGUUGUGGGGUCCAGCCCCAUGUCCUGCUGAGCAUGGAACCUGCUUGGGAUUCUCUCCCUCUCGGCCCCUCCCCACCCACGUGCAUGCUCUCUCUCUCUCUCUCUCUCUCUCUCUCUCUCUCUCUCAUUAAAUAAAUACACAUUUAAAAAAAAAAAUUCUUUGGAGACACUGAAACCAAAGGAGAAUAAAUCCCUUUUAGAAAAAAUGGACUCCCUUGAAGCACACCUGUCCCUCUUGUCAGAGGUUCCUAUUAAUUCUUUAACUUGAAGGAGUUGAAAAUACAAGUAGAAGAGUAAAUGAGCAGAUCUCUGUCAGGUUUUUGUUGUUUGCUGCGUCCUUUUUUACACUUUUUCUGGUGGAAAUAUUCAAGACAUACGGAAGAAAAUAGUGUAAUGACUCCCAUAUAUUUGUCACAGCUUCAGCCAUUAUCAACAUAUGAUCAUUCUGUUUCAUCUGUCCCUGCCCCAGUUACACACAUGUACGUGUUCUCCCUUCCACUUUCUGUGACCAGAUUACUGUAAAGGAGGUCCCAGACAGCAAAGACUUCAGAAUGUACCAUGUUUAAUAAUGGCCAGAGACACGGCUGUCAUCCUUGCUAAGAUUUGUUUAACCCGGUCUUUGUCUGGUUUUAUAUUUGUCUGUUAUAAAUCAAAGAAAGCUGUAAGAAACCAAUUGUAAGAAACCAAUAAGAUAAAAAUAUUUACUCUCCCCGGUGAAAAGUAUGCUUCUCUUGGCUCCCCGAGGUUACACCAGGGUCACGAGAGUCCCCUCGGCACACCUGCCCCCUCUGAAGGGUAAGAGACUUUCUCCCACCACGUGGCUGUUUGCCAGCUAUGACGUGUGGAUUUCUAGGCAAGUGCUAUGAGGACUGUCAGGACCGACCGCUUUUCUCGUGAUUUCUCUGCUGCUUCCGCUUCCUCCAGCUCUGCCCCCACACUUCUUGAAACUUUUCCUGGAGCAGGAGAAAAUGAACACAUCCCAGGGAUCAGUGUUGUUCAAAGAUGUAUCUGUGGACUUCACCCUGAAGGAGUGGCGGCUGCUGGACCCGGCCCAGAGGCUCCUGUGCAGGGAUGUGAUACUGGAGAACUACGGGCACCUGGUGUCCCUGGGCCCUGAACCUUCAGCAACUUUGCCGAGCCCCAUGUCAUUUCCCACAACAGGGCGCUGUGUCACCAGACCUGAGCUGAUAUUCAAGUUGGAGCAAGGAGGAGAGCCAUGGGUACCAAGGAGGGAACUCCCAAGUCAGAGCCCCCCAGGUGAGUUAACGAAGGUAGACAGAAGGCAGCUGGUGGACAUUGGAUCCCAAAUGGCCAGUUCAGGGUAUUUUUCAAAAUGUUUUAGAAAUCUCUUUUAUUUUUUUAAGUUGAUAUGUUUCUUUUGAGAGAGAGAGCAA